Molecule: transfer RNA, 76 nt
Filed under: Candidatus Berkelbacteria bacterium
Lineage: Bacteria; Candidatus Berkelbacteria
Description: tRNA-Arg
Rfam family: tRNA
About the family: Transfer RNA (tRNA) molecules are approximately 80 nucleotides in length. Their secondary structure includes four short double-helical elements and three loops (D, anti-codon, and T loops).
Source: RNAcentral
GCCCUCGUAGCUCAAUGGAUAGAGCAGGCCCGUCCUAAGGGAAAGGUUGGCCGUUCGACUCGGCCCGAGGGCGCCA